GGAGAGGUGGCUGAGUGGUUGAAAGCGGCGCCCUGCUAAGGCGUUAGAGGGUUUACGCCCUCUCGAGGGUUCGAAUCCCUCCCUCUCCG
Molecule: transfer RNA, 89 nt
Filed under: Euhalothece natronophila Z-M001
Lineage: Bacteria; Bacillati; Cyanobacteriota; Cyanophyceae; Chroococcales; Halothecacae
Also listed under: 1 other name
Rfam family: tRNA
About the family: Transfer RNA (tRNA) molecules are approximately 80 nucleotides in length. Their secondary structure includes four short double-helical elements and three loops (D, anti-codon, and T loops).
Source: Rfam by way of RNAcentral